GUCGCGAUGGCUCAGUCGGUUAGAGGUUUAGCUGACACGCAGGAGGUCAGGGGUUCGACCCCCGGGCCGUGCA
Non-coding RNA from Caenorhabditis elegans, 73 nucleotides. The record is from the annotation of a RefSeq genome assembly. Lineage: Eukaryota; Metazoa; Nematoda; Chromadorea; Rhabditida; Rhabditidae.